This 504-nucleotide ribosomal RNA is filed under the name uncultured bacterium. RNAcentral's name for it is "partial 16S ribosomal RNA". It matches the Rfam family "Bacterial small subunit ribosomal RNA", at positions 29 to 523 of the family's 1533-position model. The record is from RNAcentral.
AUUGAACGCUGGCGGCAGGCCUAACACAUGCAAGUCGAACGGUAGCACAGAGAGCUUGCUCUCGGGUGACGAGUGGCGGACGGGUGAGUAAUGUCUGGGAAACUGCCCGAUGGAGGGGGAUAACUACUGGAAACGGUAGCUAAUACCGCAUAACGUCGCAAGACCAAAGUGGGGGACCUUCGGGCCUCACACCAUCGGAUGUGCCCAGAUGGGAUUAGCUAGUAGGUGGGGUAAUGGCUCACCUAGGCGACGAUCCCAAGCUGGUCUGGGAGGAUGAGCAGCCGCCCUGGAACUGAGAGACGGUCCAGACUCCUACGGGAGGAAGCAGUGGGUAAUAUUGCACAAUGGGCGCAAGCCUGAUGGAGCCAUGCCGCGUGUAUGAAGAAGGCCUUCGGGUUGUAAAGUACUUUCAGCGGGGAGGAAGGCGGUGAAGUUAAUAGCUUCACCGAUUGACGUUACCCGCAGAAGAAGCACCGGCUAACUCCGUGCCAGCAGCCGCCGCGG